This is an RNA transcript of Pogoniulus pusillus (Red-fronted tinkerbird), 3383 nucleotides long. It is a transcript of the gene named LTO1 maturation factor of ABCE1, with no coding region annotated. The transcript is spliced from 7 exons. NCBI's taxonomy places the organism in Eukaryota, Metazoa, Chordata, Aves, Piciformes, Lybiidae. The record is from RefSeq and is a predicted model, not a curated record.
GUCGUUUCCCGGCAUGCCUCGCGGCUGGGCGGGCCGCGAGCGCGCUGUGGCGGCGCAAUGGCGGGCGCGGGCAGCAGCUCGGACGUGUUUGACGCUAUCGUGAUGGCCGAGGAGAGGUUCCAUGGUGAGGGCUAUCGGGAGGGGUAUGCUGAAGGCAGUCACAUCGGGGUUGCUGAGGGCAGGAGGUAUGGAUCACUCCAUGGUGCCAAGGUGGGAUCUGAGAUUGGCUGCUACCUUGGGUUUGCACUGACAUGGCAGUCUCUCCUCCAGAAAUGCACAGAUGAAAAGAACAGCAAAAAGCUGAGGGCUCUGAAUUCAUUAAUAGGGAUGAUUCAGAAAUUCCCAUAUGAAGACCCCACUUAUGAGAAGCUACAAGAAGAUAUGGAAAAAAUCAGAGGAAAAUUCAAACAGAAACCUUGUCUGCUGCCUUUGCUUCCAAGCCGACUGAGCCCAAGCAGCUGGAGGCCCUGUCUUCACUCAUGGCAGAGUUAUCUCAUCCCUCUGGCUCAGCUAAUCAAGAGAGAGGUGGAACUGCACACAGAAUCAAUUACCUGAUUUUUCAUUCUGCUGCUGCUUUCAUGGAAAACAAGUCUAUGGAGACACUGAAGAGCAGUAAGCAAGAAGUGAAGGAUGCAAAACUGCACUUUUCCCAUGGCCUGAGAAUGACUCCCUCCCUGGCUUAGGGCAGCCACAGGUAUGCUGUUAAUUUGAAGUCCUCUUGCCAGAAGGCUAUAAAAUGUCUUUUCAUCUUCUGUUACAUCAGAAUCCAGCAAAUAAGAAGACUGUUAUUACAAAGGCAGCAACACUGAAAAAAGGUUUCCUUUGCUCUGAAAACCUGGGUUAAGGACUUCUGCUGCCUCUCUGUAACUUACAGGAUGCUGAACAGUGUUGGAGAGGAAAAUUCACUGAAUUCCUUUAGAUAAAGAGAAAGUAAGUUUGAUGCAACACCAAAGUGGGAUGUCACUAUGAGCCACCUGAUAAAUCUUCUCUUAAACAUGGUGGUAAUUUGCUCUCAAAGGUGAAUGCCUGUGUUCUUUCAGCACAGCUGCUGCAAUAUUUAGCACUCUAAUAAAACAUCUUGCUUGUGCUUUUUGAACUAAACAGAAAAGAUCCGUGAAUGUCAGGAGUGAAAGAUGUGAGGUGCUAAAUACAUCAUAAGAGAGGAAAACACAGCUGAGUCUGAGGAUGCUCAAGAAAGCAGCCACAUGAAAGGACUUCCAAAUCCUCAUGCUGCUUCUCAUGAAAUAAAGGAUUCUGCUUGACUUCUUUGGGUGCACUCUGACGUGAUUUUCUUCAAGAAGGUAAAUUAUGGUUUUGUGCCAGUAAGAUAAAGACCUCGUGACUGUGAGACAAGGCAAAGGAGGACGCAUCUGUGAAGGUGAUUCAGCUUGUGUUCAGCAUACCUCUUAGUGACCUAGGCAUUCUUCCUAAUGUUGUUGAGCUGUAGCUCUUUCUACAUCUUCAGAAAUUGAUAGGCAUCAGGUAUGUGAAGAAUAUGUUCUAAGUCAGUUAUGGUAGAGGCAGUAAGGCAUCCUCACCUGCUCAUUUUACAGGAAGAAAAAAACCUCUCAACAAUAGAAACCACCAUGUGAGUGUUGACAUCCUGCUUAUGAACCAAUAUUGUCACAAGCAAUAGGCUUGGAGAGAGCAGGCCAAUCAAUGAGUACGAACUGACUUACACUGAGCUAAAAUUAGGUCCAAUAUCCUGAUUAAGUUAUUACAAUUAACUAAAUAAAUACACACUCUGGGUUAGUUAUUUUUGUAGUACCAUUGUGCCUGGAGGCCACAUCAGAGACUGAGAGCCAUCCAUGCUAAGCACUACAAAUACAUCCAGUUAAGAUCCAGCCUCAGUCCUGAGCAACUUGCUGUUCAUAUAGACACAGGAAACUAAGGGCUGCAGACAGGAAUUGUUCUCUGUUAGCUCUGUGUCGCAGGAACAGGCCCACAGAGGUCAACUCUGUGUAAGAAUUGCUUGUCAGGAGUGAGAAGCAAAUAGAGAAUCUCAGUAUCCACUUCAAGACUCUGCCCAUCCUUUCUCUGGCACAAACUCCUUCCUUGCCAUAAGCUUUCUCCUGCCCAGCUCUGAAGUCUUGUUUCUUUACAGGACAUUCCUUGGUUUUCAAACCCAGCACAGUGCAGACUCGCUGGAGCUUCUGCAUUCUCCUGGCUGGAGAUGAGCCUCUGUCCUCUCCAUCUCACCAGGGUGAAACACCUCAAAGCUGUAUUGAGAAAUGAUGUUUCACCAGCAGAAAUUCAAGGCCUGGAAUCCCUGUCUCUGGCAACUGCUUUACUUGAUUUAAGAGCUCCUGUAUACUAUUUCUCAAAUCCAGCACCAAGCUUUGCCUCAUUUGUGUACAUUUGGAAAUCAGGGCUGGCAAAUGCGUUUACCUGAAACCCUGCAGCUGUUGGAGCCAUACCGUGAACAGAAGGGAAAGGCUUGCAUGGCCUGGGCUGCUCCCUGCUUGAAGGCUCCUGUCAGAGAAGGCAAAAAAGGGAGUCCUCUGUGUUUGGUGAAUUCAAGAGCCAGGUUUCCAAGCAUGGAAGGAGCCUUCAGGAACACAAGUGAGGUUUUGAUCCCUGGCCCCAGAGUCAUCCAUCUUGGGCAGCUUUCUGGUUUUAUUUCACGCAAGUGGGCGACGGUGAGACGGGGACUGCAGCUGUCAAAGCAGACAUCUCUGCAGCCUUUCAGCAAGACAGGGCGUGAUUUCAAAAGGGACUUGAAUAGUGGUCCUGCAUCCCUUGUAAAUGACCUAGCCUUUUGCCAGUGGAAGCCCCAGCGCUCUGAAGCAGCAGCACCUCCUCGGUUACAGUGAUAAGCACAGGGGACAGAGGAGCUCGGGUUCCCAGAGGAUAUUUUCAGCUCUCAGGCCUGUGUUGGAGUUGGGGCAUUGGUUCAUUCUGUGAUACUGAGACUUGUUUUCCUGCUCCUCUUUUGCCUUUCCUGAGCUCCCACUGAAAGACAGUGCUGGUUCCAACACCUCUGCCUUUCCCAGCUCCUUUCUGGGUAUUUGGGUCUCAGAAGUGGAGUAUGCAGCUGCACAUGGCCACAGCAUCCCUGAAUCCAGAUUGUCACUGUUGAGAGAAGUCAUCAAUCAGUGAAAAAUGUUUUCCAUUCUCAGUUCCAUGUCCCAUCAAUGGAAAGUUUGCAGCUCACCCAUGCUGACAUAGCUGGGGCUAUGCAUUUGCUGGUGUGAACAGGAACACCGUAGCUGUUUUUCUGUUUCCUGCAGUUGGACACAGUGAAAAUGUGAUCUGGGCCUUCCACAGCGCUAUUUGCUGACACUCUCCUUAGAGACGUCAUUUGGGAAGAACAACAAUUCUUCAAGGAACUUCCUUGCAGAAAAGGUUGUGGUUGUCUUUCCAUCUCUGAAAAUUAAAACUGU